This 399-nucleotide ribosomal RNA is filed under the name uncultured bacterium. RNAcentral's name for it is "bacterial SSU rRNA". It matches the Rfam family "Bacterial small subunit ribosomal RNA", at positions 394 to 791 of the family's 1533-position model. The record is from RNAcentral.
AAGCCGCGUGAGGGAGGAAGGUACAGAGUAUCGUAAACCUCUUUUGUCAGGGAACAAAGACUGGGACGCGUCCCCGGAUGAGUGUACCUGAAGAAAAAGCAUCGGCUAACUCCGUGCCAGCAGCCGCGGUAAUACGGAGGAUGCGAGCGUUAUCCGGAUUUAUUGGGUUUAAAGGGUGCGCAGGCGGUCUGUUAAGUCAGCGGUCAAAGCCCGGGGCUCAACCCCGGCCCGCCGUUGAAACUGGCAGUCUCGAGUUGGAGAGAAGUAUGCGGAAUGCGCGGUGUAGCGGUGAAAUGCAUAGAUAUCGCGCAGAACUCCGAUUGCGAAGGCAGCAUGCCGGCUCCACACUGACGCUGAGGCACGAAAGCGUGGGUAUCGAACAGGAUUAGAUACCCUGGU